RNAcentral lists this long non-coding RNA (1059 nucleotides) under Heterocephalus glaber (naked mole-rat). RNAcentral describes it as "lncRNA (ENSHGLG00000050179.1)". Lineage: Eukaryota; Metazoa; Chordata; Mammalia; Rodentia; Bathyergidae. The record is from RNAcentral.
CAUGGCACUUGGAACUUGGCAGAGGUUUAAAGCAAAACUGGCCAUUAUACAGGAACAGAGAGAACAUUGGACUUGGAGAAGAAGACUGGGGUUCGUGUUCCAUGUCUACUACACUCAUCAGCUGGGAAAACUGAAGAUCUGAGGACACCAAAAAGACCCUCAGAAGCAGAAGAGCCACAGGAUGAAACGGGUCCAGGUCUCCAUAGCAACCCUGGAGGAGAGGCCUGCAGGGUCGAUGCCUGGUCCUCAGCAGGCUACAGCAUCGGAUGUCUGCGAGGAUCUCACAGUAGAGACAGAAUUCCAAAUCAGGACAGUAGAUUCAAGCUGAACGCCAGAGUGGUGGGCUGUGCUGGCCCUCGUGACCCCCGAGGAGAGGACAUGCCUGCCUAUGGACUCUGCCACAGGAGAAUCUCAGUUGGCUUAGCCACAGCUAGAGCCUGGUGCGAUAAGAUGCCUGGAUGGAGACCAAGGCUUGAGAGAGGCAAAGGAAUGAGUGGGAAUGAGUGGAGAGAAAACAAUGAGAACCAGGAAGAGGAGAUGAGUGAGAGGAGACUGUUCAACACUCACACUUCAAACCUGCGUGCUGAGACUCCCUGGCACCAGCCCGGUGGUGCUGGCCUCCUGAGUUGCUUUCUGUUUUAGGGUUGGUGUUUGCAGGAUUUGAGAAUCCAUUUAGAUAAUUCCCAUAAGAAAAAAUGCAAAUGAUUCAUAAACAUAUGAAAUAAAUGUAAUCAAAGAAAUGCAAAUACAAAACAACAAGGAAGUGUUUCUCAUCUAUCGAAUUAAUGGGGAUUACAACAGGGGUAUUCAACAGGGGUAGUGAGAUGACCCAUCUUUCGCUGUAGAAGUAAUUGGCACAAUCUUUCUCUUGGCAGUGGGGACCAAAAGUCUUAAAAUCAUACACGUUUCUUGACCCACUAAUUCCUUUGUUAGGGAUCUACCCAAAGGACGUAAGUGGAAGUUCAAGCAAGACUUGGGUAUGAAGGUCUCAUCGGGUCAUCAUUUACAUCCAGGAAAAGUACAACAAUAAAAUAUGACUUUGUGAUAAAUUAUAUAAUC